RNAcentral lists this transfer RNA (72 nucleotides) under Clytia hemisphaerica. RNAcentral's name for it is "tRNA-Gln for anticodon CUG". It matches the Rfam family "tRNA". Rfam says of the family: Transfer RNA (tRNA) molecules are approximately 80 nucleotides in length. Their secondary structure includes four short double-helical elements and three loops (D, anti-codon, and T loops). Lineage: Eukaryota; Metazoa; Cnidaria; Hydrozoa; Leptothecata; Clytiidae. The record is from Rfam by way of RNAcentral.
GGUUCCAUGGUGUAAAGGUAGGCACUCCGGACUCUGAAUCUGGCGAUCCGAGUUCAAGUUUCGGUGGAGCCU